RNAcentral lists this ribosomal RNA (446 nucleotides) under uncultured bacterium. Its description in RNAcentral is "bacterial SSU rRNA". It matches the Rfam family "Bacterial small subunit ribosomal RNA", at positions 354 to 797 of the family's 1533-position model. The record is from RNAcentral.
GUGAGGAAUAUUGGUCAAUGGGCGAGAGCCUGAACCAGCCAAGUAGCGUGAAGGAUGACUGCCCUAUGGGUUGUAAACUUCUUUUAUAAAGGAAUAAAGUCGGGUAUGGAUACCCGUUUGCAUGUACUUUAUGAAUAAGGAUCGGCUAACUCCGUGCCAGCAGCCGCGGUAAUACGGAGGAUCCGAGCGUUAUCCGGAUUUAUUGGGUUUAAAGGGAGCGUAGAUGGAUGUUUAAGUCAGUUGUGAAAGUUUGCGGCUCAACCGUAAAAUUGCAGUUGAUACUGGAUAUCUUGAGUGCAGUUGAGGCAGGCGGAAUUCGUGGUGUAGCGGUGAAAUGCUUAGAUAUCACGAAGAACUCCGAUUGCGAAGGCAGCCUGCUAAGCUGCAACUGACAUUGAGGCUCGAAAGUGUGGGUAUCAAACAGGAUUAGAAACCCCAGUAGUCCU